RNAcentral lists this long non-coding RNA (254 nucleotides) under Erythranthe guttata (spotted monkey flower). RNAcentral's name for it is "long non-coding RNA (EGUT_LNC000893)". Lineage: Eukaryota; Viridiplantae; Streptophyta; Magnoliopsida; Lamiales; Phrymaceae. The record is from RNAcentral.
AUUCUCAGACAAUGUAUCACAUUCAACAUAUGAAUUGGAUGAGGUAAGUAGCUACUUCUGCAAGAGCCCAAAUACAUUAUUGCAUUAUGAGUGCUACUAAGUGACAAAUGAUUGAAAUUGAUUCUAUCAUAUGAUUUCUUAUUUACUAAUUGAAUAAUUCUUUUUUUCCUUUUCAGGUUGGACUGUUUGAUGGAGUGAAAUAACGUUAUUGUGGAAGUCAUAUUUGUUGUCGCUUAACAAUUUAUAAAGUGGAA